UCUCUCGUAGCUUAGUGGUCAGAGCAUUGGCACGUAAAGCCAAAGAGCCCGGGUUCGAUUCCCGGCGGGGGUG
Agrilus planipennis (emerald ash borer) is the source of this 73-nucleotide non-coding RNA. NCBI's taxonomy places the organism in Eukaryota, Metazoa, Arthropoda, Insecta, Coleoptera, Buprestidae. The record is from Rfam.